CGCCCGGGCGUACACUUGAAUUUUGAAAAUAAAACAAAUAAUCGACAUAGAAUAAGAAAAACUGGUCAAAAGCACAUCAGCCUUGUGCUUCUUUUUUCAAUGGAUUGUAAUUUUGAAUAAAAAGGGACUAAAUUUACUCAAAUAGAUCAUUUAAUAUAUUUAUUCGAAUCUUUUGUAAAAGUCUGAAUCUACUAUGAAUUCUACGUACUUUUCUUAUAUUUAAAGCAAUUCACUAUCUGCUCAGAUUCGAUAUGCUGUUUGUAUUUUUGUCGAGCCUGUGAUUUAUGUCCCAAAAGCGAGACAAAGCGGCGUCAAUAUUUAGGUUCCGAAUGUGGAUAAAGUCUUUUGAAUGACUCUCCGUGAAAUUUUACGAAAGUUGGACAGAAACUGUUUAUGAUCAAAAGAGUAUUCAGAGCAAUAUAAUAAUGCAAUUAUAUCUUUAAUUUUCCCGCAUUUUAAGGACAAAAUGUGUUUCUUUCUGCAAUUAAUAAGUGGUCGCAGUUUGGGCUUACAUUUUGUUAUUUCUCAAUUACAUUAACUACUUGUCGAACCUUC
Molecule: long non-coding RNA, 555 nt
Filed under: Mytilus galloprovincialis (Mediterranean mussel)
Lineage: Eukaryota; Metazoa; Mollusca; Bivalvia; Mytilida; Mytilidae
Source: RNAcentral